GUCGAACGCUGGCGGCGUGCUUAACACAUGCAAGUCGAACGGAAAGGCCCUGCUUGCAGGGUGCUCGAGUGGCGAACGGGUGAGUAACACGUGGGUGAUCUGCCCCUUACUUUGGGAUAAGCCUGGGAAACUGGGUCUAAUACUGGAUAGGACCAUGCUGUAGGUGGUGUGGUGGAAAGAUUAGUUUCGGUAAGGGAUGAGCUCGCGGCCUAUCAGCUUGUUGGUGGGGUAAUGGCCUACCAAGGCGUCGACGGGUAGCCGGCCUGAGAGGGUGGACGGCCACAUUGGGACUGAGAUACGGCCCAGACGCCUACGGGAGGCAGCAGUGGGGAAUAUUGCACAAUGGGCGCAAGCCUGAUGCAGCGACGCCGCGUGGGGGAUGACGGCCUUCGGGUUGUAAACUCCUUUCGGCCAUGACGAAGCCCUUGUGGUGACGGUAGUGGUAGAAGAAGCACCGGCUAACUACGUG
Molecule: ribosomal RNA, 469 nt
Filed under: uncultured bacterium
Lineage: Bacteria
Description: partial 16S ribosomal RNA
Rfam family: Bacterial small subunit ribosomal RNA
Source: RNAcentral